Molecule: long non-coding RNA, 1482 nt
Filed under: Bemisia tabaci
Lineage: Eukaryota; Metazoa; Arthropoda; Insecta; Hemiptera; Aleyrodidae
Description: lncRNA ENSSWEETPG012355
Source: RNAcentral
AUGGGCUACCAACCUGAGGCGAGGGAGGGUGCAGAAUCACAACAGGUUUGCCGGCGUUUGGCACGGGUCGGAGACCCGCCCCAGGUCCACCACGAGGAGGCUCCGGCACCAGACCCUCUCUCUCUCAUUUCAUCUCAUUUUCAUUUCAUCUCAUCUCAUUCUCAUUUUCAUCUCAUCUCAUUUUCAUCUCAUCUCAUUCUCAUUUCAUCUCAUUAUCGUCUCAUUAUCGUCCCAUUUUCAUCUCAUUUUCAUUCCCUUUCAUCUCUUAUUCAUCUCAUCUCCUUUUUAUCUCUUUUUCAUCUCAUCUCCUUUUUAUCUCUUUUUCAAUAUCAUCUCCUUUUUAAAUUUUUUUCAUCUCAUCUCCUUUAUAUCUCUUUUCAUCUCAUCUCCUUUUCAUCUCCUUUUCAUCUCCUAUUCAUCUCCUUUUCAUUUCCUAUUCAUCUCCUUUCAUCUCCUUUUCAUCUCUUUUUCAUCUCCUUUUCAUAUCCUUUUCAUCUCCUUUUCAUCUCCUUUACAUCUCCUUUACAUCUCCUUUUCAUCACCUUUUCAUCUCCUUUUCAUCUCCUUUCCGUCUCCUUUUCGUCUCCUUUUCAUAUUCGUUUUAUCUCCUUUUCAUCUCCUUUUCAUCUCCUUUUCAUCUACUUUUCGUCUCUUUUUUCGUCUCUUUUUCGUCUCUUUUUCAUCUUAUCUCCUUUUCAUCUCAUUUUCAUCUCCCGUUUUCAUCUCCCGUUUUCAUCUCCCGGUUUCAUCUCCCGGUUUCAUCUCCCGUUUUCAUCUCCCGUUUUCAUCUCCCGUUUUCUUCUCCCGUUUUCAUCUCCCGUUUUCAUCUCCCGUUUUAUCUCCCGUUUUCAUCACCUUUUCAUGCCUUUUCAUCUCCUUUUCAUCUCCUUUUCAUCUCCCUUUUCAUCUCCUUUUCAUCUCCUUUUCAUCUCCUUUUCAUCUCCUUUUCGUUGCCUUUUCGUGUCCAUUUCGUGUCCUUUUCGUGUCCUUUUCGUCUCCCCUUUCGUCUCCCCUUUCGUCUCCCCGUUCGUCUCCUUUUCGUCUCCUUUUCGUCUCCUUUUCGUCUCCUAUUCGUCUCCUUUUCGUCUCUUCUUCAUCUCAUCUCCUUUUCAUCUCCGUGUCAUCUCCGUGUCAUCUCCUUUUCAUCUCCCUUUUCAUCUCCUUUUCAUCUCCUUUUCGUCUCCUUUUCGUCUCCAUUUCGUCUCCCCUUUCGUCUCCCCUUUCGUCUCCCCUUUCGUCUCCCUUUCGUCUCCCCUUUCGUCUCCCCUUUCGUCUCCCUUUCGUCUCCCCUUUCGUCUCCCUUUCGUCUCCCCUUUCGUCUCCCCUUUCGUCUCCCCUUUCGUCUCCCCUUUCGUCUCCUUUUCGUCUCCUUUUCGUCUCUUCUUCAUCUCAUCUCCUUUUCAUCUCCUUUUCAUUUACUCUCCUUCUCAUCUCAAUUUCAUCCCCUUUUUUCCUCCUUUUCAUUCAUAUCUUUUUGAUUGA